CGCCAACUGGAAUGCUGGCUGCUGGCCGGUGCAAGUUUCCUUCCUCUCAGGGCACCGCUCCACACGUGCAGGUGGCAGCGGACACCACUCUUGUCGCUGCCCCUCAUUCAGCGUCCUGGUGGCAUUCUGCGGGACCAUGCAAGCCCUGGUAUCCCCCGUGACUAAGGCCAUCUUCGUGGCUCUGUUUCUCUUCGCUAUCCUGCUGAUCCUCUAUGUGAUCCUGUGGUACAUUUGCCGGGACGUGGACAACGACUACAUCUGAAGCAGGUAUAGCACACCCACAGCCCCUUAGGGCCCCACCCUGGGUACCCGACCCCAGGACUCUGUGUAUCACGUUCCCUCUCUUCCCUAUGCCCUGAGCCCCUCUCCCAGAUCACUCCCCCGUACUUGGUGCAAGCCUAUCCAGGACGCCUGCCUCUUCUCUCAACCCCGCUGGGACACCUGCCUCUUCUAUUGACCCGCGCUUCUUCCCCAGACCCGGUGACCCUCCCCAGAUUCCGUGCCCCUGUACGAAUCCUGUGCCUAGUGUCUACCCAUGCAUUACAAUCCCAGGCUCCUUUCUCUUAACCCAGAUCUCACACCCCUUCCCAGACUCUGUGCCCUUCCCUUGCACUCUAUAUUCCUGUCCUGGAUCUCAUACCCCUCUAAGGACCUGGGGAUCCCCGGGAUCCCUUCUAAAACUCCCCAAGGUCUUGCAUUGCUCCCAAGACCUCAAGGAGGCUCUAUACUGAUGCCUACCCUUUUCUCAGGCUCCUGUUCUCCUCUCAUAGUCUGGGUCUCUCUCCUCAUCUUGUGUUGCUCCCAGGAAUCUGCUCAUUGUCCCCUAAACUCCACCAGGACCCUGCAUCCUCUUCUGAAUCUGUGCACUCUCUAGAACCUUAAGAUCUUCCCUUCACCCCACCACCAACCCCCACUCUGUAGAAGUCUCCAGAUUCUCCCUUCUCCCCAGGAGCCUUUGCCUCACUUUGUCCUGGGGCUUCCAAAGGUCCAGGGAAUGAAGAAGUAAAAUGAAAGACCCUUCUACCACCCUGCAUCCCUCCCAGGACCUUUUGGAUUUCCCCAAGCAGGAGUGGUUCCUCCUGGUCCUAUGCCCCUCUCUUGGAUCCCUCUUCACCAAACUCUGAACCCCAGUGCCAGCUCACCUCUCUGAGAACCCACAAAUUUCUAAACAUGGAACACUGAGGCCAGAAGAAGCUCCUGACUGGUGCCAGUGCCACACUCAUUGAACUUCUGUACUCUGGACAGUGGAAGAGCUUUUUGGUAACUGACAGGCCUCCCUCAUCCCUGUUUCCCUGUAGGGAUCCUAUGCCUUCCUUUUCUCUUUGGAGCACUUGAUGCUUUCCUCCCUCCCAGGGUUAGGAUGCCUAAGUAGCUUAAAUCUGCAAACAAGCUAGUAAGUAACAAUUUGACAUGCUACUCUGGUUCUACAAAUUUUCUUGAGUUAGGUUCAGUCUCAGAAAGGGGUCCCUGACAUUGGAAUGAUGUAUCAACCUCAAUUUUCAAGGGGAUAUCAUGGAUGAGCCUCUCUGGAUUGGGAAUAAUAGAGGUUGGGCCAGGCAAGGUGAUCUGAUCUGACUGCUUCCAGUUUUCUUUUUCUCCCUUCUGUUCCAUUCUUUUUUCUUCCCUCCCUGUGUCUUUUCCUGAUGAAGUCAGUACAUCUGCAGGCAGGUGGUAGUCAAGACUGAUGAUUGUGGCAGCGGCCAUUGAACCUGCAGUGGACAGUGAGGUAGGAAUAAGUGCAAGGAAUAUGGGUAGGGGCUGCAUUUUGUGACCUUGCCUCAGUGAGACAUAAAAGUGGAUCCUGAUUACAUUGUUGAGCAUAGAUUUUUUUAAAAAAUAUUUAUUUUUUAGUUGUAGUUGGACACAAUACCUUUAUUUCACUUAUUUAUUUUUAUGUGGUGCUGAGGAUUGAACCCAGGUUCUCGCACAUGCGAGGCAAGUGCUCUAUCUCUGAGCCACAACCCCAGGCCCACGCCCCCAGCAUAGAUUUUAAGUGAGUUCACCGGCAGUUCUUUCCAGAGAGGCUGAAGCAGCCCUUUGGGAUAGAAUGUAUCAUCUCAAAUGAACCAUAUUAAUGAGCAUUCACGGGUCAGUGUAGGCACAGGAUAGAAAAGCUGGAGUUUUGGAUAUGCAUAAUCCUGGGUUCAAAUGCCAAAUCAGCAUAUGAUUGGGCAAGUUACAUCUCUGAGAAUCAGUUAUUUCUUCUGAUGAAUGAAAUUAAUGACACUAUCAAAUUCAUUGAAAGGAUUACAUGAAGUACUGUGCCAAAGCUGACGAACAGUUGUAGACACUAAAUUCUCAAUUAAAGGUGGUUGUCACUUCUGUAAAAUUAACUAUCUUCUAAUAAUAACUGAUUUUUUCUACUUACUUUUUGCAGUAUAAUUUGCAUAGAGUAAAAUUCACUGCUUUUAUAAAUGUACAUUUCUACAGUUUCUGAUAAACAAAGCUGUGUAACUACCACAACAAGCAAGGCUUGCAAGCACUUUCUAUUGAUAACAUAUAAUUAAAAUAUUUUACAUUCAAUGCCUUUGAAUCUGAGAAAACCAGCAUCUAAAACUCAUUCUAGGUAAGCAAAUGUGAUGUUCAUGAUUUGCUUAUUUAAUUUCUUUGCAUGGUAUUGGUGUACUGCCCCACCAAAAUACUUCACUAUUUUUGCUCAUGUUCAUUACAGUUAACAUUGAAAAUAGAUUUUUUAUAUUAUACAAGCAAUAAAUAACUACAUUUUCUUGCAAAAGUAUACUAUUCCAAAGAGAAUAGAGCAAUCAUUGCACUACUCUGCCCAUUCUCCUCCCCAAAAGAGUGACAAUUAUCAACCAUUUGUUUCUUCUACUUCCUGUCUCUCUUCUUUACAUCUCUAUUCUCUCUCUCUCUCUCUCUCUCUCUCUCUCACACACACACACACACACACACACACACAGCACUUGAACACAUGCACACACAGAAUGGUGUUGGGUUUUCCUACUUUAGAUUUCAGAGGGCCAGGAGGGAAUGAAGAAGCAAAAUGAAAAUCUACAAGGAAGCAUAGGAGUCCUGCUCUCUGCUCUUCUUCCCAUGCCUUGCCUUUAGGCAUUCUGGGAAAAGGAUACCUGCUGAUCAGGUCUGUGGGGAGACUGUUUUGGCCUCUGAUUCUCUGAUUAAAGGUGCUACAUGAAGUGCAAAGACUAUUUUAAGAGGCAAAGAUAGUGCUGGGCAUUUGCAUAGAGAAGAUCAGAGCAGGUAAAACAAAACAAAACAAAAAAAAAAAAACAUUUCCCAGGUAUUCUACUUCUUUUCAUUGCCCACUUCUUGGAUGUGCACCCCUCCAGAGGCAGUAUAAAGCCCCUGUUGUUCUUCCCCUUUGUCUGCUGGUGGGGCACUGGAGUACUGCUAAUAUGGGUUAGUCUUGAACUGAAGUCUUCCACCCCUUAAGUGUAGAAACCCCCGAGUCUAUCUCAGUGGUCCUGGCAGGGGCUAGAAAGUGCCCCAUCAACAGUGUGAAGAAUGUAUCUGGAGAGCCUUGAGAUUGGAAACUAGUUAUAAGGCAAGAAAGUAUGAGGGCCUGACCUUAGGCAGUGGCCACGAAAGCAAGAGGGGUAGAGAUGUCUCUGAGUUAGAGCUGAAGACUUUGGUGACUGAAUGCAUGUAAGGGCACUGGGAGGGUAUGGAAGAGGAGAGGGGAGCAAACUGACAUUCUUUGCCUAGCCUAGUUGAAUAAGAGGCUAGUGAUGCUAAUAAAAUAGUAAUGGCUCCCACUGGAAGCAGAUGAAUGCCCUAGUUCAGCAUUCCACAGGCCCUUCUGGGUCUGCUCCGUGCUUACAUCACUUUGACUUUUCCUUCAUCCCGUCUGACCUAGUGGCAUGGGCAGGUGCCUAAGCAGGUAUCUGGAUUAUAGGGAGAGCUAAAAAAAUAUGGUAGCCUAUUUAUAUCUCGAGGUUUCACUUGCAGGCUGUUUCAUCAGGGGACACUUGUUUUUUUUAAUUUUUAAAAUUUUUCUUACUUGUUGAAGUCCUCAUGCCCAUUGAUAGAAUCCAUAUAAAGUCCAUAGAAUAAUGACUAGAAUAAAUAUGAAAUUUAGUUUGUAUACAGGAACAGUGCUCGUCCUAUGUACUCACACCAUAGCUGAAUUUCCAUCCUUUCUCCCAACAUAGUUUAAAGAGUGGCACUAAAACAAACCACAACCACCUGCUCAAGUCUUGUGGUUUGAAAUGGAUUGUGUAAUAUUUCCUCCUUCCAAUUCCUCCCCAAGAACAAGCUUACAUUUUGCAGCAUUUAGCAGUGGAGUUUAAAUACCUAAAUCAGGAUAGUGAGAAUUCAGAAUUUCAACCUAUCUGCACAGCUCUUAUUUGUCACCAUGUUGAACCAAGAUCAGCCGUAUCAACUCUCUGCUGGUGCACAUUCUGGGAAGGUAAAGCAACAAAAUUGGUGAUUGGACACCAUGCAUUUAGGACAAUAAUGUAACUCCUGAUACCACAGCUGCCAAGUUUCAACAGAUGCCUUCCACAGGCCUUUGGAAUAUUUUCCAUUUUUGAACUACUCUUGUGCCCAAACAUCAAACAUUGACUUCAUAAGGAAAAAACAUGUCACUGAAAAUUCUACUACCCUAUAAUUGAUUGGAAACCUUGGGUGGGCUGUAGCUAUAUCACACAGAAAAAAAAUGAAGUAACAAGCAGGAAAACAUAAGGAUGAAUUUUCUGAAAAGAGGCUGAAAAAUAUCUGGUUGGCAUUCUCUCCUAUACUACCAUCGUUUUUGUUACAUUUUCAUUAUUAUUUUUCAGACCUAUAGUGGGUAAAGCGUAGAAUUAGGUGCUAGAUUAUAUAUAGAAAAGUAUGAGAACUAGUCUUUCCUCUUAAGGACUUUAGAGUUUUGUCAAUAAAGAAAGAGUUAUAUAGAGAGAGAAAGGAGAGGGUGAGAGGGAGAGUCAAAGCUUAAAUAUUUGAGUGUCACAUAUCCCUCAUAAAGGAAGCAUACAUCCUGUUUGUUUAUCUGAGAUGGAGCACCCAUUAUACCCUUUGACACAGAAGAUUCCAAAGUUCACUAUAUCGAUGAGGACUAUCAACAACUGGAUGAGCAAGAUGUGGCAGGUACAUUAGCAGCCUUAGAAAAACAUAGGUGCUUCAGACAGUGGUGGAUCAACCUUGAAAAGACUCAGAAGCCUUUUCAGUGUUCAGUGGUCUGGUGGCUAGGAGCACGCCAACAAACAAAUGAUGACAGCUCACACCUUCUACCACUAAGAAGGAAACACAAGGCCUUGGAUACCUCUUUAGGUAUUGAAUCAGGGAAUUGAGGGAUAUAGUGACCUCAUUUACUUUAUCUUCCUGUGAUGCACAUGGGAAUUUAUGCUUCCUGCCCCCACAACUUUGGGUUCUGUAGUUAGACCAGCACUGUCCAAUAUGGUAACCACUAGCCACAUUUGACUAUUUAAAUCACGAUAAAAUACAACUACAAAUUAAGUUCCUCAGUUACACUAGCCACAUUUCAAAUACUCAGUAGCCACAUGGGUCUAAGUGGUCCUUAUUGAACGGUGUGGGCUAGGCACUCUGGUUUCCCAAAUGGGAAUGAUUACACCAGGAGUCAGAGUAAGAGUUCCAUUAACUACCAGGCAUGGCUGACAAGUGAAUUACAAGUCAUGGGCACCUUGGGCUCUUCAUAUUAUGGAACCCACAAGCAUGAGAAAGAGUCAUCCAUCCUAUCAGGAGUCAUGGGCCCUGGUCAUCAGGAGGAGGCAGGUAUGUUCUCACAUAAUAGGAAUAGAGGGAUAGGUUUGGUAACCAGGUGAUCCACUCAAAAAUGUGUCUUGGCGAUCCCCUGACUGAUUUCUGUGAUAAAUGGACAAGGGUGCUUUCCAUAGCCUGAGAAGGACUUGUACAUUAGGGGCUCAGAACUUUCAGGGAUGAAGGUCUGUUUUAUGCCACCAAGUAAGCCACAGAAAAUAGCAAAGGUAUUUGUUGAGGCUGAGAGGAUUCUAUCAUGGGCAGUGCCUCAGGGAGGCCAUGAACAUCACUUGUGGCUUUGAAACCAAUUGCAGCAGCGGGGGCCAUGAACUGCACUGCUGUCUUUCCCCAUGGGAAAAAGUCAAGCCAGUCCUGAAGGAGUUGUUCUCAAACAAGAUUACCUUUCUAUGUGAAGCCAUUUGAUACAAGGACUGUGGGGGGGGGGGGGGGUGGAGCUGCAGUGGUUGCUAUGGUGCCUUCCAUGGCCCCACCAUCUGACUAAGGUAACCAUUCCCUUUGCUAACAAAGGUAUUGCUUGAUUAUGACUCUCUGCUUAGGCCCCUCUCCAGGAGCUACCCUAAGUGAAGGGAAUUGCCUCCCUGGUGGCAGCCCACUUACAAAGACUGGUGAAGAGUUUAGUAGGGAACAGUAUAAAGGUCUGGCAUCCUUGCCUAGAUAUGAGAUAUCUCUGCAGGACCAUGUGCACUGUAGAGUUCCCCAUAGGAUUUUCUGAGACCUGUGAUACAACUGCAUCACAAUUUAACUCCUUCCUCUGCCCAGUCCUUCUUCCUUCACUCUCUAUAGGUGUUACUUUAUUUUUUAAAAUAUUUAUUUUUUAGUUGUAGGUGGAUACAAUAUCUUUACUUCAUUUUUAUAUGGUGCUGAUGAUCAAACCCAGUGCCUCACGUGUGCUAGGCAAGUGCUUUACCUCUGAGCCACAACCCCAGCCUCUACAGGUGUUACUUUACACAACAGAAUAAUCUUCAUCUCAGCCAUCUACUCAGGAAACCUGACCUAAUGCAGUUGCUGUUUUAAAUAAUGUCCCUUCAAAAUUUGUGCACAGCUAAAACCUGUAAAUGUGACUAUCUGGAAAUAAUAGGGCCUUUGUGUAUUAUUUGGAAAUGGGGCCUAUGCAGAUAUAAUCAAGAUAAGAUGAGAUCAUAUUGGAUAAGAGUUGGCCCUAAACACAAUGACUGUUGUUUCCACAAAAAGAGGGAAAUUUGGACUCAGAGACAAACAAACAACAAAAGAGGAAGGUAAUAUAAAGAUUAAGGCAGUAAUAUAAAGAUUAAGGUACAAUGAUGUACCUGCUAGCCAGAGAACACCAGUAAUUACUGGAAAUCAAAAUUUAGGAAGAGGAAAUAAUUAUUCAGAGAGAUCAUGGACUUGCUGGUAUAUUUGUUUCUGACUUCUACCCUCCUGAAACAUGAGAGGAUAAAAUUAUGUUAUUUUAAGCUACCUAGUUUGUAGUAAUUUGUUAUGGCAGUUCUAGGAAACUGAUAUAACUGUCAACAAAAUUAAAUAAUUAUAUUGUCAAAUAUUCCCAUUUUGCAUUAAUGGCUGAAAAUUGCAGAACUCCAGAAACACCUUAGGAUUUUAUUUCUAAGCAGUAAAACUUUGCAGGGUACGUGUUAGUACAUUUCGUGCUGCUAUAACACAAUACCUGAAACUAGUAAUUUAUAAAGAAGAGAAAUUUACUUCUUUUAGUUUUGGGGGCUGGGAAGUCCAAGAUUAAGGGCCUAGAAUCAAAGGGCUUCAUGCUACAUGAUCCCAUAGAAGAAUGUGAAGGGUAAGAGAAAGAGAAAGCGAGUGAGAUAAAGAGAGGUUUUAAAUAACAAACUCACUCCCAUGGUAGCAACAAUAAUCCAUUCAUGAGAAUACAGUACUAAUGACCAAAUCACCUUUGAAAGGUUCCAACUCCCAAUAUUGUUGCAUUGGGAGUUUAAUUUCCAAGACACAACUUGUAGGGGUACACUCAAACCAGAGCAGGUACACAAAGGCAGAUUUCCCUUCUUCUUCAUUUAUAAUAAAUAUUCAAUAAUACCCACUUGUAAAUUGUAGUUCUGAGUACCACUGACUCCCUAGAAAUAGUCUAAGAACAUGAACAUGAGGUCCAUUGUAUCAAUAUACGUUUAGGAGUCUAUUGAGACAGUCUUCAUACAUCAAUGUUUUUUUAAUACUCCUUCUCCUCACCAUAAUAGAAGAUGCAUUGAGGUUCCAGGAUUCAGGUAUUAAUCCAUUAAUAAUCAAUGAUUAUUGACUCUACUAUCCUUGAUUUUAGAAAUAUCACCCUUUCACAAAGUUCAAGGACAACUUAACACCAUCCCACAUUACUGACCCAGAACACUAUGCAUCUUAACAGAGGGAGGACAUAGUAUUUCUGGCUUGAUGUCUUCAGCAUAGCUUUUCUUUAUAAUCCUAAGCUAUGAAAAAUACCCUGAAAUCAAACCUCAUAGGUUUGAUUAAGGGGUCCAUGAAUAAAAGCUAGGAAUGGUGCCUUGCACCUCUGCUUCCCUUUACCUGUCUUUUGUCUUUAGACCAUGCAUGACAGGAUGCCCUUGAAAGAAGUCAGUUUGUACUUACAUGUGAUGAUGUUCCUUGCUUGGUUCUCAGUCUGAAAGAAUAUCUACAUCUUGACUGCCUCCUCCUUGAUGCUCACUCCCAUUCAGGAGACUCUAAGCCAUAGGAUCACAUUAUCCAGAUACCAAGCCCCUAAGGUCACAAAGACACAACCUAUCUAACCUCUGUAUCAGAAGUGAUUCAGGUCCAUGUCAUUCAUCCCUCCUAAUAACUUUUAACCCUGCUAUUUGAAGGGUUGUUAUUUUGAAAUUGAAUAAACAACUGAAGAAAGCAGACAAAAUUAUUUCUUAUUAUAUUACCAUUCUUGUGGGAGAGAAAGACAAACUAUCUGGUGGCAAUAAGUGACCAUGAAGAAAACUAAAUCAAAAUGAUGUACUAUGAGGAGUGAGGUAGGAACUACUUGAUUUAAAAAAAAAAAAAAAAAUUUGGUCAGAGAUUGAACCCAGGGGUACUUAACCACUGAGCCCCAUCCCUAGUCAUCUUUAUUUUUUAUUUAGAGACAGGGUCUUGCUAAGUUGCUUAUGGCCUUGCUAAGUUGCUGAGGCUGACUUUGAACUUGCAAUCCCCCUGCCUCAGCCUCCCAAGAUGCUGGGAUUACAGGCAUGCGCCACCAUGCCCAGCUGGGAAUUACUUUAUGUAGGUGAUUUGGAAAGGCCUCUCUGGCACUUAGGCAGAAGCUUGAAGGAAAUGAUUGUCUACAUUCUGCAGAGAUUUAAGGGAAGAGCCUUCAGGCUGAGAAACCACUAAGGUGGGUUUGGCCCAUAGAAGGAAAAGUAGGAGGUCAGUAAAGCUGGUGCAGUGGGAGUGAGUGAAGAAUUAUUAGACAUAGAAUAGAAAGCUAAUAGAGGGGCAGUCAUGGAGGACCAUGGAGACAGAAGCAUAACCUACCCUUCCAGAUUUACCAUUAUAAACAUGAUUUCAUGGGAUUUGUGAAUAUAACCCCAUGGUAAGUCUGCAAGAUUUCUUUAGUUGCUGAGUUAUUUUGAGCAAUAGUAAUUUAUCACAAGUAAUUAAAAAAUAACUGCUUUGAGGCCCCAAGAACAGAACUUCCAUUACAUAGACAGCUGUUUCUCACGGUGUAUGGCAGGAAGCUGUCUACCUGGCUUUUCUCAUUGGUACUACUUUACUGUGGGAGACUUUCUUGGCAAGUACUGACUUAUUUUGUCUACCUUGGAUUACUAAAAACCUGUGCCUGAAAUGCAACAUACAUCCUCCAGUACCAGGGGAUAUAUGGGAAACCAGGAGUUGGGCCCAGAACAGCAGAAAAAUGAUAGAACUAUUUGAAUUUGUUCCCAAUUUUGAAUACCUUGUGGAUAAUAAUUUUCAGCUAAGACCAAUGCUUUGAGUAACAGCAGGAUGUGUUCUAUGGGCAGCAAAAACACAUGCCAUAUCCUGCCUGGCUCAUACACCAUGAUAGGGUGGUGCAAAUACGUGAAUGAGUAUUUGGAGGUAAGCAUCAAAUGUCAGGAUAGUGAUCUACUUCUUUAUCUCAAUGAAUGACUGCUAUUAGGUUUCAAAUGAUUACUGUGACCACUGUGCUCUGAAAUGGAGAAGAAGUGAAUGGCAGAAUGAAAUGCAAAACAGAUCCAGAAAUUUCACAAUUUGAGCCUUAAUUCAUAGGCAGGAGCCAUCCCUGUGCAGUGUCAGAAAUUCCAGGAACAAAGAUCCCCAGGAAUACGGCUUGGGCUUAGUCAAAACCCAGGAUAUCAAGCCUACCAUUGCCUUGCUACUUGUUUUUGCAAAUGAGAUGAUCAUUUUAGUCCAUGGAAUCAGUGGGAAAGUAUUAAAAAGAGGUUGUUACUGUUGUGAUAACAGUGUGUACCCAUCUCACAGUAAGCCAGCAUAGUCAUGGAUAAGUGUUGGGCUCUGAAAUCAAAACACUUGGGUUAUUUAUCUGAUGGCUCUGGUGAGUAAAAGCCUGUGAUCUGUAUAUGGCUGCACAGCACCGUGCAACAACAACAGAAGCCUCUAUGGACAUUAAACGACUUCACAAGGACAGCCCUCUCUGUGAAGUUGCAGACAGUGAGAACAUUUCACAGAUGCACCAGAGCCCUCUAGAGUACCAGAGGAUCAGGGCUAGCCUCAACCUGAGGAUAACUAUAUGCCAUUUAUAGAUCACUUAUCACACCAGGCAAUGGGAUAAGUGCUUCAUGUUCAUUACAGUCCCAUGGACUAAAGUUUUAGGCAUGUUUUAGAAAACUUCCACAAGCUGUUUUGCUUAAUUCUGAGGCCACACACCAGUGGCUAAUGAGGUCAGGAGUUGCCAUUUUAAUAAACACUCGCUUAACAAUUACUAUAUGCAAGGCUGCUCUGUAUGCUUACAAAUAUUAUCUGAUUUAGUCUUUAUAACUUCCCCAUGAAGUAAAUACUGUUUCUAUUCAUGGUUUACAGAUGAGAUGACUGAAACACAGAGAGGUCACAAGCUUACCCAAGGCCACACAGCUAGGAGAUGGCAGAGCCAAGAGAUUCAUAUCCCUUAUGGCUGGGUUCAAAACCCCUGCUCUUAGUUACACAUUUUGUUGCUUCACUUAAACCUAGGUCUGUCCAAUUAAACUAUUCUAGUUUAGAAAUACACGUUAAUCAUAAUUAUUUUGUCCAUGUGCUUUAGAAUUUCUAGAACUAUAGAGCAGAACUUCCUAUGUGGCUAUGCCCCACAAUUAGAUCAUAAACUGCUUAGAGCAAGGAUUAUGUUCUCAUGGUCUAUACUCCUCGUUCCCAUCAUGGGAACUGACAUCCAGCAGAAGAUCAGGAAGUGUUAGCUAAAAUUUUAUACAACAUUCACAUAAUUCUUUGGAUCCAAUUUAUUUAUCCUACAAUGCAUGCAACACAUCAACACAAUUAUAAACACGAGCAGGAUCAGUAACACAAGUGAAAUUUCUAGAAAUAUCUGUAAGAGAGUUGCUUAAUACAGUCAAUGAUAGACAGAAUCAAUCUUGUCCAGGUAUAACUUUUAAAAGUCACAUUUUCAUUAAAAAAAAAUCAGUGAAAUUAUGUGAACAAAACAGCAUAUGGUAAAAGAGAGUUGUCACAAAGUAAGCCAGCUGAGCCGGAGUUCUUCAAGUGCUGGAAGGACAUUUAGGAAGAAAUGAACCAACCAGGCCCCAGAGAAAGACAAAUUAACCUUCAGGGGUAGAGUUUGCUACAGUAUUUUGAUGGGUUCCGGCAAUAAAAAAUCAAGUCCUCUCCUAAAGUAUCCCCUGAAAACUUGAGAUUUUUAUGUAACCACUUGCUUUAAUAUAGCCCAAAUUAGCUGAUUUUUAGCCAGUUAGAGACUGUCUGGUUUUUCAAAAUAUUUUUUUUAGUUGUAGGUAGACACAUUCCUUUAUUUUUAUUUAUUUAUUUUUAUGUGGUUCUGAGGAUGGAAUCCAGUGCCUCACUCAUGCUAGGCGAGUGAUGUACUACUGAGCCACAACCCAGCCCCGAGACUGUCUGUUUUUAUAAAUUGCAAAACUGUGCCCAACAUCUCCUAUGCAAAGCUAAAAUAACUCUGGGGCUCUAAAGUUCUCAAACCAGUUACCCUUCAGAGCUGUCUUAUCCAGAGACUCCCCAUCAUGUUGCUGAGCAACAUCACCACGACAUGCAAGCUCACUCUGAUCCCUGGCAGUUCUCCUGCUCUCCUGCUCUUCCAAGUAGUGAGACCUUGUCCUUAUCUCUGGAAGGGCUUAUCCUGUGAGGACUUUAUCUUUGUAUUCUAUCCUUUUGAAGUGCUUCCCUGUAAGCUGAUUGUAUGCUUCUGCCAUGUCAGAGUCAUAUAUUUUCCCUUGAUCAGUUUCAAACUUCUCGAACCCACUGCAAUAGUUUUUGUAUGAAAAUGUAUAAAAUCAGAUUGAAAAUAAUGAAUUCACGCAUCUAUGAUUUUGUCAAAAUGAACCCAACCAUUAUGUUAUAAAUAUAAUGCAUUAAUAAAAGAAAAAGAAAUAAAACAUGCAUAUUGUUAAAUAUAAUCAUUGUUGUGAAUGGGUCUGAAUUUAGGAGAAACUUUUAAAACAGGAGUUAUGAUUUCUCUAUAGUUUUAGAAUUUUUUAAGAAGAAUAUAUGCAUGGUUACUUACGUACUUAAAAGUACUAACAACAGAAAUAGCAGCUGGGUAUUCGUCAGCAAAAAUAACUGGUAGCUGAUGAAACAGAUGAACCUGAUAGUUACUAUUUGUGCACAUAAAUUUUUGAUACAGUGUGAAAAAGGCUCUCUGCUCUUAGCAGAUUGAUUUUCCAGGUACUUUCUAUUUUGGAGUUCCAUAUUCUUAACCCAGGGUUGCUACUGAAUUAAAAUGAAAGCAUAGUAAUGGUGUACUGGCUAUGGCUAUAAACAACCAAUUAUUUUGCUUCUAUUUCACAACAAAUGUACUGACAAGGUAGUGCCUCCAUAUUCCAUAAAGGAUAGGAGGACUUCUUUUAGUAUGUUGGCUUCCCUCAGGGUCCUUUUUUGUCACCAUACAGACAUGAUACAGUGCUAAGAAGAUAAAUGAAUUUUCAGUCAGAUGGUCAGCCUCAGGCUAGGAGCCAUGGGUAAAGCAUGGGAUUCAGAUGAAUUUAGACCAGUGGUCUCUUCCCAGCCCUGUCACUAGCCAGUGAUCCUAUGAAAGUCUCCAGUCAGUCAGACUUCAGGUAUUCAGCUGCCAAAUGAGAAUGAUAAGAUCUAUCCAGUAGGGUCUGUUGAGACAUGGGUACAGUAUGUAAAGCACCUGGUAUGGUGCAUGGCCCAUAAUGGAACUGUAGUGAGUGGCAAAUGGCUCUUAUUUCUGGUAGUAUUUGAUUCCAACCUCUAUGACUCUGGGGUGCUGUUUGUAUUGUCAUUGUUCACUAGAAACAUUAGAGAUUAUGAAGCUCAAUAAGAUCUGGCAUAACAAAUUAGUAUGUUUGUAUGGUUUGAGUGUGUCCUUCAAGGGUUCAUACAUUGCAAGCAUAGAUCCCCGUGUGGCAAUAUUAAAAGUUGGUGAAACUUUGAAGAGGUGCAGCCUAGUGGAAUGUCCUUGGGUCUUUGAAGCAUUGACCUCAAAGGGAUUAAGGUAGUUAACAUGAGAAUAUAAGUUAUUUCUCUGACAAUGAGUUGUUAUAAAAGAGUGUCUGCCUUCUCUCUGGCUUCUUACCUUAUGACAUGACCUCCCUCUUACACUCACUCUCACCAUUGUAAUGCCACCUUUCAAGAGUCCUCACCAGAGCCAGCAUCUUGCUCUUGAACCUCCAGAACUGUGAGAUAAAUAAAUGUUUUCUUUAUAAAGUAUCCAGCCUAAUUUUCAGGUAAAUGAAUGGAGUUGGAGAAUAUUAUGCUAAGUAAGCCAAUCCCCAAAAAACAAAAGCCAAAUAUUUUCUCUAAUAUGAGGAUGCUGACUCAUAAUGGGGAUGGGGGGAGCAUGGGAGCAAUGGAGGAACUCUAGAUAGGGUAAAGGGGAGGGAGGGGAGGGAGGGGAAGGGAGGGGCUGUGGGGGUAGGAAAGAUGGUAGAAUGAGAUGGGCAUCAUUACCCUAAGUACAUGUAUGAAGGCAUGAAUGGUGUGACUCUACUUUGUGUACAACCAGAAUUGAAUUGCAUUGUACUAUCAUACGUAACAAAUUAAAAUAAAUAAAUAAUUUAAAUUAAAAAAAUAAUAAUAAUAAAGUAUCCAGCCUAAGGUAUUUCUUUACUGCAGUAGAAAAGACUUAUAUAUCACCUUUAAAAUACUAUUUUGUGGGUGGGGCUGUAGCUCAGUGGCAGAGUGCUUGCCUAGCAUGCAUGAAGCACUUGGUUCAAUCCUCAGCAUCACAUAAAAUAAGCAAAUUAAAUAAAGGCAUUCUGUCCACAACAACUACAAAAAAUUAAAAAAAGAAUUUGCUAUUAAAUUUGCUAAUAAAGCUCAAUAAAUCAUUCUUUUCAGAGUAUCUAUUAUUAUUUAACAUAGUUGUGGGAGAGUCAUACCCACUUGAAUAAACCUCAAAGCAACUGUGCUGUGAAGCACUGACUAGAUUUCUGGUGUGAAGUAGGGGUACAGGUUUAAACACUUCGUCCUACUCAUUCUACCAUUUGCUAUUGAUGUGGCCUACAGACCCUCCCAACUUUCCUGCUGUCAUUACUUCCCUGCUCCAAACACAAGUACCAGAUCAACACACUCUUCUGUCUCCAACAGAUUUUCAUGUUCUAAUUUUUAGAUUUUGUUAUUCAUAUUCUUUGUUUUAUUAAAUUUAAUUCUUCCUUCUACAGUUUUCCAGGAUUGAUUUUGAAAAUAGAAGAUAGCAGCCUGUACUUCAUUAUCAUCUUGGCAGUUAUAGGUAAGGCAAUAAAUCUGUAAAUAAUUUAAGCAGAAUUAGCAUCUUUACAUAAUUUUUCUCCCCUUCAUUGAAUAGGAUAUGCUAUUUCAUUUGUUGAUGAAUUCUUUUACCUGAAUUUAUCAGUGGAUUUGAUUAAUUGCCUCCAUAAAUAUCAUAUAUUUCUUAGGUAUUAUUUUUGUUUUGUUGCUCUUGUGAUUGGGUUAUUUUCUAUUACUUGUUCUAAUUAGUUACUUUUCUUUGGAAGGUUCUUGAUUUUUCAGUAGUGAUCUCCCAUGUACAAUUUUUUCACGUCUCUUAUUAAUUCUAAUUUGUAUGUAUAUUACUUUGAAUUCCCUAAAUAGAUGAUCACAUUGUCACCAAAUAUUAUCUUUCUUUUCAGUAUAUCCCUUAAUUAUUUCACUAUGCAUAGUUUUGGCUUUGUGUUCUAGUAUACUACUCAAAGGUAAAGGUGUAAAAAUGCAGCUGUGUAUUUUCCAUAUAUAUAUAAUGGGAACACAGCUAAUGUUUUUAAAAUUAAAAAUAACAGCUAACAUUUUAUCUGUAUGUUUUAUUAAAGACAUGAAGAAAUGGAUAUUCCCUUAUAAUUUCACUAUACUGAAAGGUUUUACUGUGAGCCCAAGCUGAAUUUCUUUUCUUUUUCCUUUUAUUUUUUUUUUUGGGGGGGGGGCUACCAGGGAUUGAUCCUAGGGAUGCUUAACCACUGAGCAACAUCCCCAGCCCUUUUUAUUUUUUACUUUGAGACAGGGUCUUGCUAAAUUGCUGAGGCUGGCUUUGAUCUUGUGAUCCCCCUGCCUCAGCCUCCCCAGCUGCUGGGUUUUCAGGUGUGUGCCACUGCACAUGGCUUGUUUAAUUUCUUUCUUAGUCUUUUUCCAUACCCAUUGACAUUAACAAAUGUUUUCCCUUAAUUGCUAUUGUGUACAGUUACAAUUGAAAAUAUUUUACAAUUUAAAUAAUAUCUCCAUUCCUUGAAUGGAGCUCUUUAUCACUUAAUUCACUCCUGUAUUGAAUAUGUUAUAAAUUUGUUUAGUAUAUUUAUCACUAUGUGACCUUGACCCAAGUGUUCUUUCCAUGGUAGGGAAAAUCGUGUUCCCAUCUUGUUUUUUAAGUCAAGGAGAACUAGUCUGAGAGAAUGAGUUAAAUCAUUCCUCAUCUUUUUGUAUGCUUUGAGAGAGUUUACAUAAGACAGUGAUCAGUUUUCUUUUAUGGCCACCAGUAGAGCUGAACUCCAAAACUGCUUUGCACUAGAAUUUUGGGGAUAUUUUGAGUAUUAAAUACAGUUUAAAUUUAAGUUGGCUUUUGACUUUUGGGUACUGGCUUAUUUCAUUUAGCAAGAUAGUUUCCAGUUCCAUCUAUUUAUCAGCAAAUGCCAUAAUUUCAUGCUUUUUUUAAGACUCAGUAAUACUCCAUUGUGUAUAUAUACCACAUAUUCUUUAUCCAUCAUCUGUUGAAGGGCACCUAGGUAGGUUCCAUAGCUUGGCUACUGUAAAUUGUACUACUAUAAAGAUUGAUGUGGCUGUUUCACUUUAGUAUGAUGAAUUCAGUUUCUGUGUCUUCUAAGGAAUUGGCAUUUGUUAGUUGUCAUUAUGGCUUUAUAAUCCACUAGUUCUGCAUUUAGCUUCAUUAUUUCAUACAUGUUAUGGUUUAGAUAUGGUGUCCUCCAAAAUCUCACGUGUGAAACAAUGUAAGAAGGUUUGGAGGAAAAAUGAUUGGAUUAUAGCUUCGGCCUAAUCAGUGAAUUGAUCCGUGGUGGGAUUAACAGAGUGGUGACUAGAGGCAGAUGGGGUGUGGCUGGAGGAAGUGGCUCAUUGGGGUAUGGCGAUGGGAUGUAUAUUUUGUAUCUGGUGAAUGGAGUCUCUCUCUGCUUUCUGAUCAUCAUGUGAGUUGUUUCCCUCUGCCACAUUCUUUCCCCAUGAUAUUCAGCCUCACCUUAAGCCCAAGGAAUGGAGACAGCCUUCUAUGGACUAAGACCUCUGAAACUGUGAGCCCUCAAAUAAACUUUUCCUCCUCUACAGUUAUUCUGUUUGGGUCUUUUAGCCACAGCAGCAAAAAAGCUGACUAAAACAAUACCUUCUACUGCUUUAGGUUUAAUAUGACAUCCAGGCCCUAGUUUAUUGAAUUGCUUGGGUGAUUUAAAUAUUUCCUGUUUUCUAGUAUUUCUGUUUAAGGAUGUAUAUUUCCUUUUGAGUAUCACUUGGGUGAUAUUGCACAGAUCAUGCUAUAUAGCUUCAUGUGUAUACAUAUAUUUCUGAUACAUAAAUAUAUACAAAUUAUAGAUAUUUAUGGGGUACCAGGUGAUGUUCAAAUAUAUGUAUACUUUCUGUAAUGUUUAAAUGAGAUUAAAUGUAUCUAUCUUUUCAAACAUUAAUUAUUUACUUGUGAAAACAUUCAAAAUAUUUUCUUCUAGCUUUUUGAAAUAUAUAGCACAUUAUCAUUAUGUAUAGUCAUGCUACUGAGUAUUCAACCAUAAGAAUUUCUCCUGUCUAAUUAUAACUUUGACCACAUUUAUCAACCUUUCCCCAUAACUCCCCAGAUUCUUGUCACCACCAUUCUACUCUCAACUUCUAUGAGAUCAACUUUUUUUUAACACUCCAAAUAUGUUGAUGUCAUACAGUACUCAUCUUUCUUUUCUGGCCUAUUUCACCACAUAAUGAUCUCCUGUUCCUAACCUGUCAUCAUAAAUGGUAGGAUUUCAUUCUAUUUUAUGGCUGAAUAGUAUUCCAAGGUAUGUAUGUAUCAUAUUUUGUUUAUCCAUUCAUUCAUUGAUAGGCAUAGAGGUUAUUUCCAUUUCUUAGCUAUUAUAAAUAGUGCUUCAAUGAACAUGCAGGUGCAGAUGUCUCUUCAACAUACUAAUAUUUUCUCCUUUCAAUAAGUACCCAGUAGUGGGACCGAUGGGUCAUAUGGUAGUUCUGCCAAUUUUGUUUUAUUUUUGUUUUGUGGUGCUGGGGAUGGAAUCCAGGACCUCUCACAUGCUAGGGAUAUGCUCUACCACUGAGAUACACUCCCAGCCCUAACCCUAGAAGCUCUAUUUUUAGUUUUGUGAGGGAUAACAUACGGAUUUCCAUAAUGACAGAACUAAUCUACAUUCCCACCAAUAGUGUGCAAGAGUUCCUUUUACUCCAUCCUCACUAGCACUUGUUAUCUUUUGUCUCCUUUAAAAAAAAAUAUUUUCAGUUGUUGAUAGACAUACAUUUAUUUAUUUAUUUAUUCAUUUAUAUGUGGUACUGAGAAUUGAACCCAGUGUCUCACACAUGCUGGGCAAGUGCUCUGCCUCUGAGCUACAACCCCAGCCCCUUUUGUCUUCUUGAUAAGAGCCAUUCUUCCUGGAGUGAGAUGAUAUCUCAUUGUGGUUUAAAUGUGCAUUUCCCUGAUAAUUGUUGAUGUUGAACAUUUUCCAUAUUUGUUUGCCAUUUGUACAUCUUCUGUUGAAAAAAAUGUUUAUCAAAAGCUAUUGUCCAUUUUAAUUGAGUUAUUUUUUGGGGUUUUUCAAAAUUGAGAUUUGAAGUUCCUUAUAUGUUCUAAAUAUAAACUCCUUGUCAUAUGUAGAGUUUACAAAUAUUUUCUCCCCUUCUGUAGGUUAUCUCUUCAUUUCAUUUUGUUGAUUGUUUCUUUUGCUGUGCAAAAGUUUUUAGUUAGAUGAAAUCCAAUUUGUCUAAUUUUUCUUUUGUUUCCUGUGCUUUUGGGUUCUCAUAAAAAAAAAAUCUUUGCCAAUUCCAAUGUCUAAAGAUUCCCACUAUGUUUUCUUCUAGUAGCUUCAUAGCUUCAGUUAUCACAUUUCACUCUAUAAUCUAUUCCAAGUUGAUUUUUGUGACUGGUGAGGGACAAGAGUCUUCCUUUAUUCUUAUGAAUAUGCAUAUCCAAUUUUAUCAACACCAUUUGUUUCAAAAAAACUGCCUUUUCUCCCCUAUCACUUUUGUCAGAAAUAAGUUUGUUAUAGAUGCAAUGUUACCUCUAAGUUCUCUGAAAUGCAGUGAUAUGUUGUUUAUUUGAGAUCUUUCUGCUUUCUAGAUGUAGACAUCGAUUGCUAUACAUUGCCCUCUUAGUACUACUUUGAUGUAUCCCAUAUGGUUCUAUAUUUAUUAUUUGUUGCAAAAAACAUUUUAAAUCCAUUUUGAAAUAAUUCCUUGAUUUGUUGGCUGUUCAGGAGUUAUUUAAUUAACAUGUGUUUGUGUGGUUUCCAAAGUUUUUCUUAUUAUUGAUAUCUAUUUUUAUUGCAUUAUGCUUAGAAGAGAUGCUUAAAAUGAUUUAAAUUUUUCAAAAUUUGUUAAGGCUUGUAUUUUUGGCCUACCAUAUGAUCUGUGUGAGAAUGUUCCAUGUACCUUGAGAAAGAUGUGUAUUUUGCAGUUGUUGGGUGGAAUGUUCUGUAGAUGUCUGUUAGGUCCAUUUGGUCUAGGCUAUACUUUACUAUUUUUGUUGUUGAAUCUGUCUGGAUGAGCUGUUCAUUGCUAAAAGUGGGGUGCUAAAUUCCUCUCUAGUAUAUUUUGUAUACUGGAUUUAUUUAGUAUAUUGGAUUCUAUCUCAAGUCUAAUAAUAUUUACUUUAUUUAUUUAGGGGUUAUGAUAAUGGGUUCACAUGUAUUUGUGAUUGUUAUUUCCUCUUGCUGAAUUGACAUCUUUAUUGUUAGGUAAUGAUCAUCUUUAUCUCCUGUCAUCUGAUUUUGGUGUAAAGUCUAUUUCAUCAGAGAUACCCUGUUUCCUUUUGGAUUCCAUUUGAAUGGAUUAUAUUAUUCCAGCCCUUCACUUUCAGUCUAUGAAUGCAGAUGUCUCUUCAACACCUUUAUGGUGUGGAAAAUCUGGGAAUAUUGUUUUCUCUCCUCCAUUUCUAAAUGAUAGCUUUUCUCAGUACAAUAUUCGUGGUUAGCAUGUUUUUUCCUUAAAUGUGAAAGGUGAAAUGAAUUUUUUGUAAACAACCUAUGUGUAUGUGUGUAAACAUAUAUGCAUAUAUAUACACACACACAACAUGUAUGUACACACAGAUAUGCACAAACAUUCAGUCACUUGCAUAUUUUAAUCUAUUUAUAUUUAAAGUAAUUGUCAAUAGCUAAGAUCUUACUACUGUCACUUUGUUAUUUGUUUUCUAGUUUUAUUAUCAUUCCUUUAUUUCUCCCUCUUACUGUGUUUCUUUGUGGCUAAUUGAUUUUAUUUUGUAGUGUACUUUGAUUCCUGUCUUAUUAUUUUAAUCUAUCUAGUAUAGAUUUAUAGUUGCCAUAAUUUUCAAAAAAAAUCUCUUGAUUAUAACAGGUUAUUUUGAAAUGAUAGCAAGUUAACUUUAUUUGCCAAGAUUAUAAAGACAAUGAGAAAAUAAAUACUAAUAAAAUAUGUACAUUUGUACUCCAUUCCUCCCCAUAUUUUGAAUUUUUGGUGACCAAUUUAUCUAUAUUGUUUAUUUCCUAAUAUAUAAAUGUACUUAUUUUUAAAAUUUUUUAAAAUUCUUCAUACUAAAGGUAUGAAUGUUUUACACAACAUGUUUCCAAUAUUGUAACAUUCUGAAUUUGUCUAUAUAGUUACUUUUAUCAGUGAGUUUUAUACCUUCGUAUGUUUAACCCUUACAUGUUAGCAUCUCUUUCUUAUAGUUUGAACUCCCUGUACAGUUUUUUAGAGGACAGGUCUGGUGGGGAUAAUAUAUCUCACCUUUAUGGUGAGGAAAAUCUGGGAAUAUUGUUUUCUCUCCUUCAUGUCUAAAUGAUAGCUUUUCUCAGUACAAUAUUCGUAGUUAGCUUGUUUUUUCCUUCAAUACUGUGAAAGUCUCUUGCCAGUCUCACCUGGUCUGUAAGAUUCCUGUUGAGAGAAGGUUGCUCUCAGGUGAAUUGGAUCAUCCUUAUGCAUUAUUAUUUGUUCCUUUCUCUUGCUGCUCUGAUAAUCACAUUUGUGUUUAUCUUUGAGCACUUAAUGAUAUAUUUAUAGCAGACUUGGUCGAAUUAAAUCUGACUGGUGGCUUUUGAACUUCCUAUACCUGGAAUUGUAUCCAUUUCUAGGUUUGGGAAAUUUUCUACAAUUAUUUAUUUGAAUAGCUUUCUACCUUUCUGGCAUUCUUAAGUCUCUUUUGAAAUUCAGUAACAAAAAUUUUUGCUCUUUUAAUCCUUCCCAAAGCUCUUGUAAUUGUUCUUUGUUGCUCCUCAUUUUUUACUUUUUUUCUUUUCUGACUUUAUAUUUUAUUUUUCACUAGGCUGUCUUAAAGCUCGCUAAUCAUUUUUUUCUUUGUGACCUAUUCUAUUGUUGUUGAUGCCCUAUUUGGUGUUCCGGAGAUGAAACUCAGGGCCUCAUUCAUGGUAGGUUUAUCUCUGAGAUAAACCACUAGCCGUUAUCAUGUUUUAAAUUUUGGCCUUUAUACUUUUCAAUUCAAGAAUUUGUGUUUUGAUUUUUAUAAUUACUUUAAUAUGUUCCAUUUUUCUUUUAAAAAUAUUUUUUAUUUGUUGAUGGACCUUUAUUUACUUUUUAUUUAUUCAUAUGUGGUACUAAGAAUUCAACCCAGUGCCUCACACAUGCUAGGCAAGUGCACUUCCACUGAGCUACAGCCCCAGACCCUGUUCCAUUCUUUCUGACAAAGUAAUUAAUCAUUUUUGUUUUAUUGAAGUGCAUUGAAUUUCCCUAAAACAUCUAAUAUGGAUUUUUCUGUGAGUUCACAUAUAUCAGUUUCUGCCACUUUUUUCUGUCUGUUAGACAAGGUAUUAGUUCCCUAAAAGUUCUUAAUGCUUGUCGGUGUGUGACAUUGUUUGCACAUUAAAGGAUUAGAUAUUUAUUACAGUCUUUAUAGACUGGCUUUUUUGGGGUCUGCCCUUCCACAAAUUCUAAGCAGGCUACCUAGUUUCUCUGAAACUGUAGUCACUUGCAAUUUCAGUACUACCCAAUGGCCUAAAUCAAGGUUUGCUGUGAAUCUGCAGUUUGUGUGAUAUCACUGUUGCAGCACUAGAGGGCACUCCAAACCCAAAUCUGCUGUUAGUAUGUUGUUCUGAAUGAACUAGGGGGGGUGGCUAGAAAGUCCAUCCCUGAAAGCUCCCAGUUGUGCCCAGAUUGGGCCCAGAUUCUGCGUUCAUAGUAUCAGGAAUUUGGGAAUGCAAAGGGAUUCUUGGAUAAUAACAUGUAUGAAAGGUAAAGAGUGGGGAAAGAUUAUUGAAAGGGGGAACCAGAAGACCAUGAUGCCAGCCUGACAAAGUCUCCAUAAGCCCAUGGAGAGAGAUUUUGAGCAAAGAUGGACUGUUAUACGAGGUUAAUGUUAGGUGAAAAUGAUCAGCCACCUGUCAUUCUCAUGUGAGCCCACAUCAUCAGUCUUGGACUUAACCUCAUUGACCUUAUCUUCCUUUCCAUGGGUAUUACUUCCCAAUAAGCCAUUAGGUGAGAAUCACUUGGAAGAGCUCAAAAAAGCAACCACAUACCACCUAGUGAGUCCUUUACAAAAAGGGAAUCUGCCUGCCACAUCUAUGCUUCCCACAUGCACAUUUUUCUUUUCUUUCAGUUGGGUUGAGUCCUGACUCCCAGGCUCUCCACAAUUUUGGACUAUGAUUGUUAACAUGUUACAGUUUUUUGUUUUGUUUUGUUUUGUUUUUCCCCCUGAAUUCUUGGACUGUUUCUUUUGGAAUUGUGUCUUGCCAUCUCUUUCAGUAAGAUGAAGGAAUUUUCAAGUCAUCAUUUUUAAAAUUGCAUCUUCACUUUUUGCUGAAAUUAUAACAAUUCAAAACUUGUUUUUACUGCCUUGGUACAUUCAUGAACCAUCACCUACAAGCUCACAAACAACCAGAGGUCUAGAAUUUAUGUCUUCUACCCCUGGCCCCACCCCCUGCUGGUUCUUGAUUUGUGGAUGCACCUACAUGUCUCUCCCCCGUUUCUGAACUCUCAGUUAUAAGAUUACAAUCAGCAUCCUUAACUCUAAUCUCUUAGGACUUGCAGCUGUAACUGUUCUCUAUAACAUUUGGGACUGGGAUGACUCUGCAGAUCCUAUCAUUGUCAUUUACUGAAGUAGAUGCCCCAAACAGGGCAUUCUUGCUAUCAGCUCUCCUUGAGGGGCUGCCUGUUUCUCUGCUAUCUUGCUCUGCAGCAGCCCACCAAGACCAGCCCUGACUCUGAUUCCAUGGCUGAGGAAGACAUCCAAUUAUUACUUUCUCCCUUUCUUGAGGUCAGGUGAAGAAAUAAAGAAGAUAUCCCAGCAUUUGGAUCAUUUCCUAAAUAACCAGUCCAGGAAUGCAUGCUGACUAUAGCGCACUCAUCACACAAAUCAAAACUCAAUGAAACAUUUCAGCCCCUACAUCCUGUGUGUAAUAGAAGCCUUACAAAAGCCUUAAAACAUGGAAGACAAUGCACAGGAUCAUGGUGUGUACAGAAAUGAUAUGGAAUGAACAGUGGGUCCAGUUUAGAGGGACCCUGAAUACAGAGUAAGGAAUAUGAACAUUAUUCUGUGUAAUUAAAUCACAGAUUUACAUCACAUCUGGGCUCCUGUCAUCCUUUUUAUUUCCUUCUCGGGGCAGGGUUGGACAUACUUAUGCAUGUAUAGACUGUCAUGUAUCUUCCUCACUGGGUUUUAGGAAGGGUUAAACAUUUUCUGUUUAAAAUGUAUAUAUGAAUACCUCAGAAGAAAGGUACCAUUUAAAAUUCCCAUAGGAACCAAUUCUUCACUCUUCUUGAGACCAAUUUGCUUCAGUAAGAAACAUGUUCACUUCACGCAUCCUUUUUUUUUUUUUUUAAUUUCAGGUGAGACUCCACACCUUGGCUACCAGAUAUCAUGGCCCCUAACCCAGGAAAGCCUGAAUUUUGAUGAGAAACUAAGAACACCAGCAGAGCUUUCUGAUUUUGUACUGUGAUUCCUCUAAUGUAUCAUCAUGGACACAAUUGCAUUUCAGUCAUUGGCUUGUUUCUUUGCUUAGGUAUUACCACACGGGCUUGACCUCUCUGUCGCUAGAAUGAUGACAUUGCUAUCCAAACAUAAGUCUUGGGUCCUUUUGCCCUUAAGCAAAAGUGAAGCAAAAUUAUUAAGUAUAUUUCUCACACACCCAUUUCCUUGUAAUAGCUACAGGAAUGUGAGGCCCAGAAUUUGGGCUUUGAAGUCACUUGUUUCUUGUGUAAUGGCAUUUACAUGGACAUGCUAGCUGAGGAUGGGCCAGAUGUUUAUUUUAUUAGGAAGAGAAUUAAAAUUAUCUGUCUCUUAAAUAUGCCAGGGGGUAUUUUAAGGAAAUAAUUUUAAGCUUCUGGAACCUAUGAGAAUAUUGUAGCUUUGUUUUAGUUUGUUUUCUGUUGCUAUAACAAAAUAUCCAAGAGCAGAUAAUUUAUAAAGGUUAAAAUGUAUUUUCCACAGUUAUGGAAGCUAGAAUGUCCAACAGUAUGGUGCUGGCAACUAGUUGGCAUCUGGUGAGAGCUUCCUUGCUGCAUCAUAACAUGGAGAAGACCACCUCAUAGAAAGACAGAGCAAGCAAUCUAGCUCAGGUCUCUCUUCUUCUUAAAAAGCCACUAAGGCCAUCAUGGAAAUCUUCAUGACCUAUAUAAUACUAAUUAUACCUCAAAGGCUCCACUUCUGAAUACCAUUAACAUGAACUUUUGUGGGAUACACUCAAACCAUAACAAGUGCCCUCACGCCCAGCUUAACUUUCCUUCAUAUUAUGGUAUGCUACUAGUAAUUUCUUCUUGAAUGCUACUGUUAUCCUUCCAAUGUUUGAAGGAUAUUGGCAUAGCUGGUUCACUCUAUAAAGACAUUUCUCUUGUAAUCAUUUUGUUCUCUCAUAUUCAUAUGCUAAUUUUCAUGAAAAAUGUGACUUAAACGUUCCACAUAGACAAGACUCUCUCCCUCUAUUGUUGGCUGUGUAUGUAGGCACUUCUCCAUUCAUUUGGAGAAGUGUCAUUUGCACCACUGAUUCUGUUUGUGUCAACAUGUUACAUGUAUUGUAGGCUAAAUAAAGUCGAUCUGACAAGGUUGUGUGUUUUUCAUUUUGUUUU
Molecule: long non-coding RNA, 24426 nt
Filed under: Marmota monax (woodchuck)
Lineage: Eukaryota; Metazoa; Chordata; Mammalia; Rodentia; Sciuridae
Rfam family: tRNA (bases 13941-14009)
Source: RNAcentral